CUUGGCGACCAUAGCAUUUUGGACCCACCUGACUCCAUGCCGAACUCAGAAGUGAAACAAAAUUGCGCCGAUGGUAGUGUGGGGCUUCCCCAUGUGAGAGUAGGACAUCGCCAGGC
RNAcentral lists this ribosomal RNA (116 nucleotides) under Vibrio sp. HB161653. The record is from RNAcentral. Lineage: Bacteria; Pseudomonadati; Pseudomonadota; Gammaproteobacteria; Vibrionales; Vibrionaceae. RNAcentral also lists the same sequence under 1 other name.